This 521-nucleotide ribosomal RNA is filed under the name uncultured bacterium. RNAcentral's name for it is "partial 16S ribosomal RNA". It matches the Rfam family "Bacterial small subunit ribosomal RNA", at positions 28 to 523 of the family's 1533-position model. The record is from RNAcentral.
GACGAACGCUGGCGGCGUGCCUAAUACAUGCAAGUCGAGCGGGCCUCCGGAGGUGCUUGCACCUCCGGAAGGCCAGCGGCGGGCGGGUGAGUAACACGUGGGCAACCUGCCUUUGAGGCCGGGAUAACACCGGGAAACCGGUGCUAAUACCGGAUACGUCCUCUUUCGCGCCUGCGAGAGGGGAGAAAGACGGUCUUUAAGGCCGUCGCUCAAAGAGGGGCCCGCGGCGCAUUAGCUGGUUGGUGGGGUAAGGGCCUACCAAGGCGACGAUGGGUUGCCGACCUGGGAGGGUGAUCGGCCACACUGGGACUGAGACACGGCCCAGACUCCUGCGGGAGGCAGCAGUAGGGAAUCAUCCGCAAUGGGCGAAAGCCUGACGGUGCAACGCCGCGUGAGUGAGGAAGGUUUUCGGAUCGUAAAGCUCUGUUGUGAGGGAAGAACAGCUUCCGGAGGAAAUGCCGGAGGUUUGCCGGUACCUCACCAGAAAGCCCCGGCUAACUACGUGCCAGCCGCCGCUGUAA